UACGUAGGUGGCGAGCGUUAUCCGGAUUUAUUGGGCGUAAAGCGUGCGCAGGCGGUUUACUAAGUCUAAAAUUAAAGCCCGAAGCUCAACUUCGGUUCGUUUUAGAAACUAGUAGACUUGAGUGUGGUAGAGGCAAAUGGAAUUUCUAGUGUAGCGGUAGAAUGCGUAGAUAUUAGAAGGAACAUCAGUGGCGAAGGCGAUUUGCUGGGCCAUCACUGACGCUCAUGCACGAAAGCGUGGGGAGCAAAUAGG
Molecule: ribosomal RNA, 252 nt
Filed under: uncultured bacterium
Lineage: Bacteria
Description: partial 16S ribosomal RNA
Rfam family: Bacterial small subunit ribosomal RNA
Source: RNAcentral